UACGAAGGGGGCUAGCGUUGCUCGGAAUCACUGGGCGUAAAGGGUGCGUAGGCUGGUUUUUAAGUCAGGGGUGAAAUCCUGGAGCUCAACUCCAGAACUGCCUUUGAUACUGAAGAUCUUGAGUCCGGGAGAGGUGAGUGGAACUGCGAGUGUAGAGGUGAAAUUCGUAGAUAUUCGCAAGAACACCAGUGGCGAAGGCGGCUCACUGGCCCGGUACUGACGCUGAGGCACGAAAGCGUGGGGAGCAAACAGG
This 253-nucleotide ribosomal RNA is filed under the name uncultured bacterium. RNAcentral describes it as "partial 16S ribosomal RNA". It matches the Rfam family "Bacterial small subunit ribosomal RNA", at positions 524 to 776 of the family's 1533-position model. The record is from RNAcentral.